CCUACGGGAGGCUGCAGUGGGGAAUAUUGCACAAUGGGCGCAAGCCUGAUGCAGCCAUGCCGCGUGUGUGAAGAAGGCCUUCGGGUUGUAAAGCACUUUCAGCGGGGAGGAAGGCGUUAAGGUUAAUAACCUUGUCGAUUGACGUUACCCGCAGAAGAAGCACCGGCUAACUCCGUGCCAGCAGCCGCGGUAAUACGGAGGGUGCAAGCGUUAAUCGGAAUUACUGGGCGUAAAGCGCACGCAGGCGGUCUGUCAAGUCGGAUGUGAAAUCCCCGGGCUCAACCUGGGAACUGCAUUCGAAACUGGCAGGCUAGAGUCUUGUAGGGGGGGGUAGAAUUCCAGGUGUAGCGGUGAAAUGCGUAGAGAUCUGGAGGAAUACCGGUGGCGAAGGCGGCCCCCUGGACAAAGACUGACGCUCAGGUGCGAAAGCGUGGGGAGCAAACAGGAUUAGAUACCCCGGUAGUC
This 465-nucleotide ribosomal RNA is filed under the name uncultured Klebsiella sp. RNAcentral's name for it is "bacterial SSU rRNA". It matches the Rfam family "Bacterial small subunit ribosomal RNA", at positions 338 to 795 of the family's 1533-position model. Lineage: Bacteria; Pseudomonadati; Pseudomonadota; Gammaproteobacteria; Enterobacterales; Enterobacteriaceae. The record is from RNAcentral.